This is a long non-coding RNA of Eucalyptus grandis, 641 nucleotides long. RefSeq lists it as uncharacterized. The transcript has 4 exons. NCBI's taxonomy places the organism in Eukaryota, Viridiplantae, Streptophyta, Magnoliopsida, Myrtales, Myrtaceae. The record is from RefSeq and is a predicted model, not a curated record.
CAAGUUUUUAUGCUGCCCAUGUACUGUCUUCCAAGCCUGAUCUACUACAGCUGCACACUCAGGAUGAUCUACCCAGUAAGGUUGAUAAAGCACAAGGGCUUGACUCUCAUCACAUGGACUUUUCCUGUUUGAUACAUCACAAGAGGGAAUAACAGGGGUUUCGGGAACCAUUUCAUCUUCUAUCAAGCAAUCUUGCUAAUACACGGCUCCGACAUUGCAGCCCAUGGAAGCCCUAUCAAGUGCACCCAGAACAAGCAGGAUUUGAAUUCAUAACAAUGCUCGGGAACGGCAGGGUCUCCUUCUUGGAUGUGAUUAUUCAACUCCGUAAUAUCAUCCGCAGCCCAGAGAUCUCCCAUGCGUUUACAGAGGGUCAACAAGCGGAGCUGGUUUUCAUAGCUGCCCUCCAUCGCUCCAGCAGGACUUUCUAGAGAGAGGGUUUUCGUUGACAACAAGGUGGGGUUCCGAAGAUGGGUGGAUUUUGGUUCAGAGGAUGGAUUUAUAGGGAAUGAAGGGAGCUCUGUAGAUUACAUGAGCAUUUACCGAUAGAUCUGGGUUAUGACAAGUUAGGGUUUGAGGAAGCAAUUUGUUCAUUCUUUUUGUUGUUUUUGGUUGAGAAGAGAAAAUGAAAUGAUCAAUCCGGU